This 269-nucleotide ribosomal RNA is filed under the name uncultured bacterium. RNAcentral describes it as "partial 16S ribosomal RNA". It matches the Rfam family "Bacterial small subunit ribosomal RNA", at positions 524 to 776 of the family's 1533-position model. The record is from RNAcentral.
UACGGAGGGUGCGAGCGUUGUCCGGAAUCACUGGGCGUAAAGGGCGCGUAGGCGGCGCGGGAAGUCCGUGGUGAAAGCCCGAGGCUCAACUUCGGGUCGGCCAUGGAUACUCCUGGGCUCGAGCACUGUAGAGGCAGGUGGAAUUCCGGGUGUAGCGGUGGAAUGCGUAGAGAUCCGGAAGAACACCGGUGGCGAAGGCGGCCUGCUGGGCAGUAGCCGGAAAGGCUUGAAAGCUGACGCUGAGGCGCGCAGCGUGGGGAGCAAACAGG